This is a long non-coding RNA of Coccinella septempunctata (seven-spotted ladybird), 523 nucleotides long. RefSeq lists it as uncharacterized. The record is from RefSeq and is a predicted model, not a curated record. The transcript has 2 exons. NCBI's taxonomy places the organism in Eukaryota, Metazoa, Arthropoda, Insecta, Coleoptera, Coccinellidae.
UGCUGCCCAUCAUUGGGAAAAAUCUUUUGAUUUAGUGCCACAUUGAUGAAAAGAUAUUUAAAAAAUGUAGAGAAUGAUACUAUAACCCUAAAAGUUCCAGUCUUGAGGGAAUUGUAAUAUUCUUCAAAAAUAAAGGGGGACUUCAUGUACCAUCAUAUGGAAUUAUAACGAUAUGUCAAUCAUGAAUUUGCUGAUUUCAACUAAAAGUAGAGUUCCAAGAGAUGAAAAUUUUCUCGAAGCAUUUGCAACAAUUCAGUCCCAAAAAUUUUAUGAUCGAGUUAAUGAUUUGUUCCCUUCCUUGAAAGAACAUUUUUUAUAUUCUUCAGUGAUUGACAGACAUCAUGGCUUUCUUUUAGUGAAAAAUAUUGCCAGAUCUCAUUUUAAAAUCAGAAUAUUCAAUCUGUGUAAAAAGUUUAUACUGAAAAAUUCAAGGUUCUGCAAUUAGAAAACUUCAUCAUUUGAUUAUAUGCAGCAAUUGAUACUGGAUAUACAAUAUUGUAUAAAUAAAAUGAAUAGAAAAAUG